Molecule: long non-coding RNA, 102 nt
Organism: Nothoprocta perdicaria
Lineage: Eukaryota; Metazoa; Chordata; Aves; Tinamiformes; Tinamidae
Exons: 2
Source: RefSeq, a predicted model, not a curated record
CAACAUUUCUUAAGGUGCUAGCAUGUUUUCCCUUUGCUGAAGACUGGGACUAUUUCCAUCAACUGAGGCACGAAGAACCUAACUUUCCUGGCUUUCAGUGGG